AUUGAACGCUGGCGGCAUGCUUUACACAUGCAAGUCGAACGGCAGCGCGGGCUUCGGCCUGGCGGCGAGUGGCGAACGGGUGAGUAAUGCAUCGGAACGUGCCCAGUAGUGGGGGAUAGCCCGGCGAAAGCCGGAUUAAUACCGCAUACGACCUGAGGGUGAAAGCGGGGGACCGAAAGGCCUCGCGCUAUUGGAGCGGCCGAUGUCGGAUUAGCUAGUUGGUGGGGUAAAGGCUUACCAAGGCGACGAUCCGUAGCUGGUCUGAGAGGACGACCAGCCACACUGGGACUGAGACACGGCCCAGACUCCUACGGGAGGCAGCAGUGGGGAAUUUUGGACAAUGGGGGCAACCCUGAUCCUGCCAUGCCGCGUGCGGGAAGAAGGCCUUCGGGUUGUAAACCGCUUUUGUUCGGGAAGAAAUCCUCUGGGCUAAUACCCCGGGGGGAUGACGGUACCGGAAGAAUAAGCACCGGCUAACUACGUGCCAGCAGCCGCGGUAAUACGUAGGGUGCGAGCGUUAAUCGGAAUUACUGGGCGUAAAGCGUGCGCAGGCGGUUGUGCAAGACAGAUGUGAAAUCCCCGGGCUUAACCUGGGAACUGCAUUUGUGACUGCACGGCUAGAGUGCGGCAGAGGGGAGUGGAAUUCCGCGUGUAGCAGUGAAAUGCGUAGAUAUGCGGAGGAACACCGAUGGCGAAGGCAGU
RNAcentral lists this ribosomal RNA (702 nucleotides) under uncultured Caldimonas sp. Its description in RNAcentral is "bacterial SSU rRNA". It matches the Rfam family "Bacterial small subunit ribosomal RNA", at positions 28 to 725 of the family's 1533-position model. Lineage: Bacteria; Pseudomonadati; Pseudomonadota; Betaproteobacteria; Burkholderiales; Sphaerotilaceae. The record is from RNAcentral.